UGCUACUCUAUUAGCAACAAAUGUGUCC
Molecule: small RNA, 28 nt
Filed under: Bombyx mori (domestic silkworm)
Lineage: Eukaryota; Metazoa; Arthropoda; Insecta; Lepidoptera; Bombycidae
Description: ovarian small RNA-34083
Source: RNAcentral